This 253-nucleotide ribosomal RNA is filed under the name uncultured bacterium. RNAcentral's name for it is "partial 16S ribosomal RNA". It matches the Rfam family "Bacterial small subunit ribosomal RNA", at positions 524 to 776 of the family's 1533-position model. The record is from RNAcentral.
UACGAGGGGGGCUAGCGUUGCUCGGAAUCACUGGGCGUAAAGGGUGCGUAGGCGGGGCUUUAAGUCAGGGGUGAAAUCCUGGAGCUCAACUCCAGAACUGCCUUUGAUACUGAAGAUCUUGAGUUCGGGAGAGGUGAGUGGAACUGCGAGUGUAGAGGUGAAAUUCGUAGAUAUUCGCAAGAACACCAGUGGCGAAGGCGGCUCACUGGCCCGAUACUGACGCUGAGGCACGAAAGCUAGGGGAGCAAACGGG